RNAcentral lists this small RNA (115 nucleotides) under unclassified sequences. RNAcentral's name for it is "DUF3268 RNA". It matches the Rfam family "DUF3268 RNA". The record is from Rfam by way of RNAcentral.
ACAUAAAGAUUGCGCCCAGGCUCUCGAUACAUCGAAAGGGUGUUAGACUUAUCUGAAGGCAGGUAGGGAAUCGUUACGGACUUAGCGCACAGAGCGGUCCACAAUGGCGUGGCUU